RNAcentral lists this ribosomal RNA (395 nucleotides) under uncultured bacterium. Its description in RNAcentral is "bacterial SSU rRNA". It matches the Rfam family "Bacterial small subunit ribosomal RNA", at positions 29 to 430 of the family's 1533-position model. The record is from RNAcentral.
AUUGAACGCUGGCGGCAUGCCUUACACAUGCAAGUCGAACGGUAACGCGGGGCAACCUGGCGACGAGUGGCGAACGGGUGAGUAAUGCAUCGGAACGUACCCAGUAGUGGGGGAUAGCCCGGCGAAAGCCGGAUUAAUACCGCAUACGACCUACGGGUGAAAGGGGGGGAUCGCAAGACCUCUCGCUAUUGGAGCGGCCGAUGUCAGAUUAGGUAGUUGGUGGGGUAAAAGCCUACCAAGCCUGUGAUCUGUAGCUGGUCUGAGAGGACGACCAGCCACACUGGGACUGAGACACGGCCCAGACUCCUACGGGAGGCAGCAGUGGGGAAUUUUGGACAAUGGGCGCAAGCCUGAUCCAGCAAUGCCGCGUGCGGGAAGAAGGCCUCGGUGUAACG